This is a long non-coding RNA of Centruroides sculpturatus (bark scorpion), 355 nucleotides long. RefSeq lists it as uncharacterized. The record is from RefSeq and is a predicted model, not a curated record. NCBI's taxonomy places the organism in Eukaryota, Metazoa, Arthropoda, Arachnida, Scorpiones, Buthidae. The transcript is spliced from 3 exons.
CAAAUAUUGAUAAAGGAAAUUUAAACAGAAUGAAAAAUGAUUUGAUUAGAUAAACGACUCAGUAAAUUCUUUCACUUUUGGAUAAUGUAUUCUAGAUGUAAGAUAGUACUUCGAUAGAUAAGACAGUUUUGACACAAUUCAUGUGAAUCUAAGCUAUGUUCUUACCAUACAUCCGUAUUGAUCCUUCCGUAGAUCCGAGUGAAUUCUCAGCGAAACAUUUGUAUAAUCAUAUCUCCUCCAUCUUUGGCCCAAUAAUUGAUGGACACAGGAUAAGCUUCCGUGUGACAGUCUAAGGUAACAUCUUUUCCCAUUGCUGCACCAACCAGCUGGUUUGGUAUCCACAUAACUGGAGGAA